Molecule: small RNA, 89 nt
Filed under: Meriones unguiculatus (Mongolian gerbil)
Lineage: Eukaryota; Metazoa; Chordata; Mammalia; Rodentia; Muridae
Description: 7SK RNA (ENSMUGG00000000335.1)
Source: RNAcentral
AUGGGGAGAUUUUUCUGAGACAUCUGUUACCCCAUGAUCGCCAGGGCUGUCUGGGCCGAUUUGGCUGGCAUGCCGCCUCUCCCCGUAAA